This 466-nucleotide ribosomal RNA is filed under the name uncultured bacterium. Its description in RNAcentral is "partial 16S ribosomal RNA". It matches the Rfam family "Bacterial small subunit ribosomal RNA", at positions 28 to 507 of the family's 1533-position model. The record is from RNAcentral.
GAUGAACGCUGGCGGCGUGCUUAACACAUGCAAGUCGAACGGAAAGGCUCCUGCUUGCAGGGGUACUCGAGUGGCGAACGGGUGAGUAACACGUGGGUGAUCUGCCCUGCACCUCGGGAUAAGCCUGGGAAACUGGGUCUAAUACCGGAUAGGACGAUGGUUUGGAUGCCAUUGUGGAAAGUUUUUUCGGUGUGGGAUGAGCUCGCGGCCUAUCAGCUUGUUGGUGGGGUAAUGGCCUACCAAGGCGUCGACGGGUAGCCGGCCUGAGAGGGUGUACGGCCACAUUGGGACUGAGAUACGGCCCAGACUCCUACGGGAGGCAGCAGUGGGGAAUAUUGCACAAUGGGCGCAAGCCUGAUGCAGCGACGCCGCGUGGGGGAUGACGGCCUUCGGGUUGUAAACUCCUUUCGCUAGGGACGAAGCGCAAGUGACGGUACCUGGAGAAGAAGCACCGGCUAACUACGUG